RNAcentral lists this long non-coding RNA (1248 nucleotides) under Anser brachyrhynchus (Pink-footed goose). Its description in RNAcentral is "lncRNA (ENSABRG00000006881.1)". The record is from RNAcentral. Lineage: Eukaryota; Metazoa; Chordata; Aves; Anseriformes; Anatidae.
CAGCGUCCUGUGCUCCUGUUAACUCAAAAAGCAUACCUGAUUCCCAGGGGAACGAGACCCGAAGGGGCACGCAGCCGUCACACGGCUUCCAAACUUCGCCCGAGCACCCCGGAGCUCGGCCAGGUGCGGCCAAGCCCCCGCGACUUGAGCCCUGCCAGCUCCACGGGUGGCCGAGGAGCUCUCAGAGCCCGUCCAGGUGAAUUCUGCUCUUCCAGCCCCGCGUGGGCUGCGCGAAGCACACGCCGUGGUCCUCCUGACAGGAGCUCAGCCAGGCGGGAGGGGUGCGCUUGGUGGUUCACCGCCGGUGGAGACCCACCACCACCCCACCUGCCCUCACACCCUACCGGGCAGCACCGCGGACCCCCAAAGGCCGCCCCUAAUCCCGCCUUGGGGCACAACCGCGGCCGAGCCCAAACCCCCCCGGGCACGCCGGCGGCUUCCCGGUGCCCUGAGGCGGCGGGCACGGAACGCGCCCCCCUCCCCGGCCGCCCCCCGGCCGCCCCGGAGCACGGGCGGUCCCCUCGGAGCCGUGUGCCCGGCAGCGGGGAGGCAGCGGCGGCCGCAGCGGCUCCCCUCGCCCCGCCGGACGCCCCGCGCGGCCCCGCCGUCCCCUCGCCCAACUUCGGGAGGCAGCGGGCGGAGAGGCGAGGCGCACCCGCAGCCCCUCGCCGCCCCCCGGCCAAGUUUCCCCCCACGCUCCCCGCCGGUACCUGGGACAGGCGGCGGGCGAGGCGCAGCCCGGCGGUGCUGAAGGAUGCCCGGCGGGCGGAGACGGCCGGCCCCGCUGACAGCGCUUCCUCCUCCUCCUCCUCCUCCUCCUCCGCCUGCCCGUGCCCGCCCGCCGUGCUCCGGGGCCGCCCCCCCCUCGGCGCCGCCACAGGGAGGUGCCGGGGCAGCGCCGCUCCGCCUGACGGCCCCGCUGCCCGGCGCGAAGUUUGCGGCACGGCUCGGCCCGGGGGGGCGCCUCGGCGGGGCCGGGCAGCUCCGCUCCGAGUGCCGGAGUCCGGCCCGGGGCCGCGGCCACUUCCUCUUCCUCCGAGCCCCGCCGGGGCAGGGGCAGCGGCGCCUCCCGGCCCGGCCCGGCGGUGGCAGGGCUCCGCCGUGCGGCCGGGGCCGGAGGACCCUGAGGCAGCGCCCGCCUCCCCUCGCCCCCCGGCGGGUCCCCUCUCGCCCCCAGCCCCGCAGCUCCGAGCCGGGCUCACCCCCCGCCACACGCACACUUUUGCCAGCCGCGGCAUCAGGGGGUAA